Prunus avium (sweet cherry) is the source of this 449-nucleotide non-coding RNA. The record is from RefSeq and is a predicted model, not a curated record. NCBI's taxonomy places the organism in Eukaryota, Viridiplantae, Streptophyta, Magnoliopsida, Rosales, Rosaceae.
CUGCAUUCGAGAAACUGUAGAGAAUCAAAUUGUGGCAUACGACGGUGCGUGUGAGUUACAUUCUCUGCACUUAGCAACCGCCCUCUCUGUCUCUGCAAAGAGGAAAGAAGAAAGAGGUUCUACUGCUUUUUAGGGAUGGGAUCUGAAGAAGCAUGCAGAACUACGGUGGCAGAAUCAGUCAGAUAGUGAACAGCGAAGGUUGCUACCAGUUGAUAUUCUCAAGUGUACAGAUAGGACGGGAUUGUCAACACUAGCAGCCUGGUGUAUAGAAAGUUGAGAAGCAGAAUAAUUUCUGGUUUAGUUUAGCAGGGCUCAAAGAUUUUGUCAAAUAAAAACAAGUAAAUCUCAGUCAGUUACCAACCGCAUGCAUACAAACUUAGUACCUUCAGAAGGGUUGUGAUAUGAGGGCCUGAUUUUGCAAGUUGGUCAUGAGCUACACCCAGAAAAAG